Molecule: small nuclear RNA, 61 nt
Filed under: Chelydra serpentina (North American snapping turtle)
Lineage: Eukaryota; Metazoa; Chordata; Testudines; Chelydridae
Description: U7 small nuclear RNA (ENSCSRG00000015026.1)
Rfam family: U7 small nuclear RNA
About the family: Animal histone pre-mRNAs are spliced by a different mechanism than nuclear pre-mRNAs and self-splicing introns. This processing involves the U7 snRNP, which contains only one RNA species: U7.
Source: Rfam by way of RNAcentral
UAGUGAUUUCAGCUCUUUUAGUAUUUGUCUAGCAGGUUUCCGGCUCUGCCCGGAAGCCUCU